RNAcentral lists this ribosomal RNA (455 nucleotides) under uncultured bacterium. RNAcentral describes it as "bacterial SSU rRNA". It matches the Rfam family "Bacterial small subunit ribosomal RNA", at positions 339 to 796 of the family's 1533-position model. The record is from RNAcentral.
CUACGGGAGGCAGCAGUCGGGAAUUUUGGGCAAUGGGCGACAGCCUGACGCAGCGACGCCGCGUGGGGGAUGAAGGUCUUCGGAUUGUAAACCCCUUUCGGCAGGGAAGAUGGAACGGGUAACCGUUCGGACGGUACCUGCAGAAGCAGCCACGGCUAACUUCGUGCCAGCAGCCGCGGUAAUACGAAGGUGGCAAGCGUUGUUCGGAUUUACUGGGCGUACAGGGAGCGUAGGCGGUUGGGUAAGCCCUCCGUGAAAUCUCCGGGCCUAACCCGGAAAGUGCGGAGGGGACUGCUCGGCUAGAGGAUGGGAGAGGAGCGCGGAAUUCCCGGUGUAGCGGUGAAAUGCGUAGAGAUCGGGAGGAAGGCCGGUGGCGAAGGCGGCGCUCUGGAACAUUUCUGACGCUGAGGCUCGAAAGCGUGGGGAGCAAACAGGAUUAGAUACCCCGGUAGUCC